Molecule: long non-coding RNA, 2791 nt
Organism: Gallus gallus (chicken)
Lineage: Eukaryota; Metazoa; Chordata; Aves; Galliformes; Phasianidae
Exons: 3
Source: RefSeq, a predicted model, not a curated record
CUCUUUGCCCCCGCCCUUCUCUCCGGCGGCACCACGGUACGAACGGGGGAGGGACACGUUCCUCAGCUCGUCGGAGGGGUGAGUCAAUUCCUUUUGAUAUCUUUUCCUUGUGUGCCUAUUUCUCAAAUAAAGGCUCUGUCAUUGCCUUCAUUUGUUCUACAGCAGGGAAAAAAAAAUGCCUUCAACUGCAUGAAGGGGAAGAAAAUCUUCCCUUCUGAGUUGUAGACUGGAGGGAAUGUGGUUCUUCUGGCAAAGGCUGACCUUUUAUAUUUCUACUUCUUUCUGUUUUAAAUCAUUUUAGUCAAAGGAGGGGACACUGAUUAUUGCCCGUAUAGUUUACCUGGUUAUUUUCUGAAUGAGGUAGGUCCAAGUGAAGAAGUCUUAUUUUUUUUUUUUUUUUUAUAGGGGAGAAGGGAGCUUUCUAGAUGGAAAGUUCUAAAUAUUCUGGUUCUGGGGUCUAUUGAGGCACAGGAAAUAACUGUGCUUUAAUAUCACUAUCUAUUAUCCCAGGAGCAUACAGGGCUGGGAUCUGUGCCCAGAGGGACAUGGAACAUGCUGUGGAGCUGGGUUCUGAGGCUGGAUUUCAACCAGCCUGCAUUUUACCUCUCCUCCUCAAUGUGUUGUCUUUCCCUGGACAACACAUUAACUGAAGUUGAGAUGUGAAACUACUCCAGAAAAAUCUUUCCAAGGAAGGGGUAACCUAGGCCACGCUGCAGUGUCUGCUGUUGUUUGUGGAUAUAGCAAUUUGGAAGAGGCCUUCUGCGCAGCCUCAUGGGGUACACAAUGGUGCCCUGUGGGACUGCUUGUGGCUUUUCAGUAAGAACUGUCCUUGCAUCUCCAGGCAAGGAAAAAUUAAUCCUGUUUUAAUAAAUUAACCCACAGGAGAGGUCCAGCAAGCUGAAUUCAAAUGCACUGGAAGUAAUUAUGUAGCUGGCAAAACAAGGUUAUUAAAAAUCCCAACUCACCCAUAAAAAGUGAGACGCAGGAAACCAAUCCUGUGGCCAAGCUUCACCAACUCUCCCUGCCUUGCAGCAGCUCCUGUUAGCAGCACAACUCCCAUCUUCUUCAGAGUGCACAGCCACUUGUAGGCACUCUCAUCAUCAUAUAUAAUUUCUUCAAAAGGCAUUUUGGGAAGCUGUAGGUCUGAGCCCCAGUACUGAUGUUCUGAAUAGGAAGGAAUAGAGAAGCAAGCAUUCAGCUAUUUUAGCAUCGGAGCACAGAACAGUCAUGAAGUUAAAGAGAUUUUUACGUGUUUGUGAAAAUGCCCUUGGUCCUGCAGUCAACCUGCAGGAACCUGAACCCCAAUCCCUAAGUUUUUUUUAGAUAAAAAAUAAUCUUUACGGUAAAGUGCAACAAAACUUUGCAGUAAAGAAGCAGAUUUAAAUCAGAAGUUUGGUGCACAGUACAGCAGAAGACAUACACCAGUGUAACAGCUUAGAAGCUGAGUAACUACAUCAGAUGCACCAGUGACUAAUCAAUUUUCUUUUGUAGGUUUGUCUCCACAAAGGCACAUCCAGCCACAUGAAAUCCUGCAGGAUGGUGUUAUUCUUCAUCUUUUUCUUAUUUGAAGUGCACUGAUGCUAUUUCAGAUGAAUGCCAAUAACAGCCCAAGAUCAUUUACAAGCCCACAGGAUACUGGGAGGACAGAAACUCCAUUCCUUCCACUGUGGUACUCCAUACUUCAGACAACUCUAUGACUACGAGUCAAUCAUAUGACUACAAGUCAAUCAUCUUACCCCAUACACUUUGCUAAGACCACACCUUGGAUUGAUUGUGACAAAAAAUUGUUGAUGAAUUCUGGGACUAGGAGAGGAUCCAGCCACAUUUAGGCUCCUUAUCUCCAUGGUUCGAGGAGUUUAGGAAGUAAGUGGGUCCACUCUGAACCUUGUGACUCAAUGGGAGUGCCCUGUAUGUGUGUGUUUAACCCCACCCUCUAUGCAGAACAUCAAGCGUAUCCAGCCAUCUUAAUUCUUGUUAAUGUUGUGAUUUAACAGCAACUUAUAUUAUGUCAGUAAACAUCUUCCUGUUCCUCUUCUAUGAACAAAGAAUAUAGUGCAGUUGUUUCCAUCUGCCACGCCACAACAGGAGAUGGCAUCUGCUGGGGAUUGCUUCUCCAGGACAUAUGUAAGAAAGUGUUGGAAACCUUCCCAAGAUGAUGAUGAUGAUUAGAAGUAGUAGUAGCAUGUACUUUCUCCCUUGUGCAAUCACCUAGUCCUUUAAGAGGACUCCAGCACAGAUACUCAGUGUUGGGACUGAAUGGACACCCAACAGGGCGAGGUUGCUAUGGCUGUUCCCUAUUGCCCCUAGAAAGUGGAAGCAAAUAAACCAAGUAUAACCACAGAGUGUGGAUAAGCACUUUGCAGGUCUGUAACAAUUCCAGUAGCAAAAGGCACUUGAUAAGCCAGCAGGGCAUAAACACACAGAGAAUGGGCAAGCAGGAAGGCGCAGAUGGCUGCAUGCUUGAUGUAUGGGUAGCAAGAACAAGAAGUAAACAAGAGUACAACAACAGCAGAUGAGGGCUCCUCCUUUCCAUUCAAGAGAAGAAGAAAACACCAACACAGAAUGAAGAAAAAUGAAGGAAUAAAGGUGUACCACACCACUGGUUUCCCACCUCAAGUAGUACUCAGAGUCCUGUUCUUUGGAAGUUGCGCAAGCCACAGAGUAUCAACACUCCUCUAUUUUAUACUCACAGAUAAUUUAGGAUGAGUCUUUUGAAGACUACUUGUGUGUUGAUGUGAUGUAUACUGUUAAUAAAUGUCAAUCCAGUGAAGUGCUACUUUGAAACUUAAAA